RNAcentral lists this ribosomal RNA (487 nucleotides) under uncultured bacterium. RNAcentral describes it as "partial 16S ribosomal RNA". It matches the Rfam family "Bacterial small subunit ribosomal RNA", at positions 28 to 507 of the family's 1533-position model. The record is from RNAcentral.
GACGAACGCUGGCGGCGUGCUUAACACAUGCAAGUCGAACGGGCUCUGUCUGGCUGUGUGCUGGGUGGGGUUAGUGGCGAACGGGUGAGUAAUACGUGAGUAACCUGCCCUCUUCUUUGGGAUAAGCCUUGGAAACGGGGUCUAAUACUGGAUAUUCCUGUCUGGUCGCAUGGCUGGGUGGGGAAAGUUUUUUUCGGUGGGGGAUGGGCUCGCGGCCUAUCAGCUUGUUGGUGGGGUGAUGGCCUACCAAGGCGUCGACGGGUAGCCGGCCUGAGAGGGUGGACGGCCACACUGGGACUGAGAUACGGCACAGACUCGUACGGGAGGCAGCAGUGGGGGAUAUUAGACAAUGGGCGCAAGCCUGAUGCAGCGACGCCGCGUGGGGGAUGACGGCUUUCGGGUUGUAAACCUCUUUCGUCGGGGGACAAGGCUCUGCUUGGUGGUGGGGUUGAGGGUACCCGGUGAAGAAGCGCCGGCUAACUACGUG